This 253-nucleotide ribosomal RNA is filed under the name uncultured bacterium. RNAcentral describes it as "partial 16S ribosomal RNA". It matches the Rfam family "Bacterial small subunit ribosomal RNA", at positions 524 to 776 of the family's 1533-position model. The record is from RNAcentral.
UACAGAGGGGGCAAGCGUUAUUCGGAAUUAUUGGGCGUAAAGGGCGCGUAGGCGGCCUUCUAAGUCGAGCGUGAAAUCCCCGGGCUCAACCCGGGAACUGCGUCCGAUACUGGAAGGCUUGAAUCCGGGAGAGGGAUGCGGAAUUCCAGGUGUAGCGGUGAAAUGCGUAGAUAUCUGGAGGAACACCGGUGGCGAAGGCGGCAUCCUGGACCGCUACUGACGCUGAGGAACGAAAGCUAGGGGAGCAAACAGG